Sardina pilchardus (European sardine) is the source of this 203-nucleotide long non-coding RNA. RefSeq lists it as uncharacterized. The record is from RefSeq and is a predicted model, not a curated record. The transcript is spliced from 3 exons. Lineage: Eukaryota; Metazoa; Chordata; Actinopteri; Clupeiformes; Clupeidae.
CAGGGAGCCACUGUUAUAGAGGCUGAAAAUUCUAUCAAAAACUGGCUCAAAUAUAGUUGUGACCGGAGUGGAGGGAGAAAAGAGAGAGCUGCUCAAAAAGAAAAACAGAAAUCAUUGCCUCACCCCAUCUCUUUGAGCAGCUCUGACAGUGAAUGAGAAUGCUACAAGAAGUCAGAACUGGGAGUACACUACAUACAUUCAAC